This 237-nucleotide ribosomal RNA is filed under the name Thalassionema nitzschioides. Its description in RNAcentral is "partial Bacterial large subunit ribosomal RNA". It matches the Rfam family "Bacterial large subunit ribosomal RNA", at positions 228 to 520 of the family's 2925-position model. Lineage: Eukaryota; Bacillariophyta; Fragilariophyceae; Thalassionematales; Thalassionemataceae. The record is from RNAcentral.
AUUGAUACUCCCCUAGUAGCGGCGAGCGAACGGGGACCAGCCGAGCCUUGAAUGUGAAUAGAAUGGUCUGGAAAGGCCAACCAUAGUGGGUGACAGUCCCGUAUAUGAAGCACGAUAGGACGUAUUAAGUAGGGCGGAACACGUGAAAUUCUGUCUGAAGAUCGGAGGACCACCUUCGAAGGCUAAGUACUCCUUACUGACCGAUAGUGAACCAGUACCGUGAGGGAAAGGUGAAAA